AUCCCGAACUGAUGAGUUUCAAAUAGGACGAAACAUGCGUCCUGGAU
This 47-nucleotide non-coding RNA is filed under the name Schistosoma haematobium. The record is from RNAcentral. Lineage: Eukaryota; Metazoa; Platyhelminthes; Trematoda; Strigeidida; Schistosomatidae.